UAGGGAAUCUUCGGCAAUGGACGAAAGUCUGACCGAGCAACGCCGCGUGAGUGAAGAAGGUUUUCGGAUCGUAAAACUCUGUUGUUAGAGAAGAACAAGGACGUUAGUAACUGAAAGUCACCUGACGGUAUCUAACCAGAAAGCCCCGGCUAACUACGUGCCAGCAGCCGCGGUAAUACGUAGGUGGCAAGCGUUGUCCGGAUUUAUUGGGCGUAAAGCGAGCGCAGGCGGUUUCUUAAGUCUGAUGUGAAAGCCCCCGGCUCAACCGGGGAGGGUCAUUGGAAACUGUGAGACUUGAGUGCAGAAGAGGAGAGUGGAAUUCCAUGUGUAGCGGUGAAAUGCGUAGAUAUAUGGAGGAACACCAGUGGCGAAGGCGGCUCUCUGGUCUGUAACUGACGCUGAGGCUCGAAAGCGUGGGGAGCAAACAGG
This 429-nucleotide ribosomal RNA is filed under the name Chloroflexota bacterium. Its description in RNAcentral is "Chloroflexi bacterium partial 16S ribosomal RNA". It matches the Rfam family "Bacterial small subunit ribosomal RNA", at positions 355 to 776 of the family's 1533-position model. The record is from RNAcentral. Lineage: Bacteria; Bacillati; Chloroflexota.